RNAcentral lists this small RNA (106 nucleotides) under Marmota monax (woodchuck). The record is from RNAcentral. Lineage: Eukaryota; Metazoa; Chordata; Mammalia; Rodentia; Sciuridae.
GCUAGGCAUGGUGUCACAUGUCUGUAAUCCCAGCAACUGGGAGACUGAGGCAGGAGGAUUGCAAGUUCAAGGCCAACUUUAGCAACUUAGUGAGACCCUGUCUCAA